RNAcentral lists this ribosomal RNA (158 nucleotides) under Verticillium dahliae. RNAcentral's name for it is "5.8S ribosomal RNA". The stretch from base 42 to 158 matches the Rfam family "5.8S ribosomal RNA", at positions 1 to 117 of the family's 154-position model. From Rfam's summary of the family: 5.8S ribosomal RNA (5.8S rRNA) is a component of the large subunit of the eukaryotic ribosome. It is transcribed by RNA polymerase I as part of the 45S precursor that also contains 18S and 28S rRNA. Lineage: Eukaryota; Fungi; Ascomycota; Sordariomycetes; Glomerellales; Plectosphaerellaceae. The record is from RNAcentral.
GAACCCGACGAUACUUCUGAGUGUUCUAAGCGAACUGUUAAAACUUUCAACAACGGAUCUCUUGGCUCCAGCAUCGAUGAAGAACGCAGCGAAACGCGAUAUGUAAUGUGAAUUGCAGAAUUCAGUGAAUCAUCGAAUCUUUGAACGCACAUGGCGCC